RNAcentral lists this ribosomal RNA (525 nucleotides) under uncultured bacterium. RNAcentral describes it as "bacterial SSU rRNA". It matches the Rfam family "Bacterial small subunit ribosomal RNA", at positions 102 to 662 of the family's 1533-position model. The record is from RNAcentral.
ACGGGUGAGUAACGCGUGGGAAUCUACCCAUCCCUACGGAAUAACGCAUGGAAACGUGUGCUAAUACCGUAUACGCCCUACGGGGGAAAGAUUUAUCGGGGAUGGAUGAGCCCGCGUUGGAUUAGCUAGUUGGUGGGGUAAAGGCCUACCAAGGCGACGAUCCAUAGCUGGUCUGAGAGGAUGAUCAGCCACAUUGGGACUGAGACACGGCCCAAACUCCUACGGGAGGCAGCAGUGGGGAAUAUUGGACAAUGGGCGCAAGCCUGAUCCAGCCAUGCCGCGUGAGUGAUGAAGGUCUUAGGAUUGUAAAGCUCUUUCAACGGUGAAGAUAAUGACGGUAACCGUAGAAGAAGCCCCGGCUAACUUCGUGCCAGCAGCCGCGGUAAUACGAAGGGGGCUAGCGUUGUUCGGAAUUACUGGGCGUAAAGCGCACGUAGGCGGGUAUUUAAGUCAGGGGUGAAAUCCCGCAGCUCAACUGCGGAACUGCCUUUGAUACUGGGUAUCUUGAGUAUGGAAGAGGUAAGU